RNAcentral lists this ribosomal RNA (468 nucleotides) under uncultured bacterium. RNAcentral's name for it is "partial 16S ribosomal RNA". It matches the Rfam family "Bacterial small subunit ribosomal RNA", at positions 28 to 507 of the family's 1533-position model. The record is from RNAcentral.
GACGAACGCUGGCGGCGUGCUUAACACAUGCAAGUCGAACGGAAAGGCCCUGCUUUUGUGGGGUGCUCGAGUGGCGAACGGGUGCGUAACACGUGAGUAACCUGCCCUUGACUUUGGGAUAACUUCAGGAAACUGGGGCUAAUACCGGAUAGGAGCUCCUGCUGCAUGGUGGGGGUUGGAAAGUUUCGGCGGGUGGGGAUGGACUCGCGGCUUAUCGGCUUGUUGGUGGGGUAGUGGCUUACCAAGGCUUUGACGGGUAGCCGGCCUGGGGGGGUGACCGGCCACAGGGGGACUGAGAUACGGCCCAGACUCCUACGGUAGGCAGCAGUGGGGAAUAUUGCACAAUGGGCGGAAGCCGGAUGCAGAAACGCCGCGGGCGGGAUGACGGCCUUCGGGUUGUAAACCGCUGUCGCCUGUGACGAAGCGGGAGUGACGGUAAUGGGUAAAGAAGCACCGGCUAACUACGUG